GGCUAGCAGUUCUACGACAACAUACUACCUGUUAAGUUUGAGUGAACAUUAAAAACAUAAUUGUGACGCAAAGUGUUAAUAAAAAGAUAAUAAAAUAUCACAGAAAUUGAGUGAGCUAAAGCGUUUUCCGGAUGAAAAGAAAGACUAAAAUCAAACAAAAUGUUUUUAGACAAAGCAAAGGCUUACAAUGAAACGAACUGUUUGCAAAGACAAGAUGCUGAAGAUACGUUAAGUGAGUUAGUCAAUAAAGUGAAGUGGUUAACAGAAGGUGGUGAUAGUGUUCUACACAUCGGCAGCCGUAGCGGCGAUGUUCUGUUCGACUACAUUUUUCCACUGUUACCGAAGAACUUUUCAAGGCUGGUCGGUAUCGAUAAAUCGGAAGAAAUGAUUUCCUAUGCGAUGGAAAACUAUCGUCAUCCGAAAUUGUUUUUUGACCGUGCUGAUAUCAUCAAUGCGGAUGAUGUCAACCGAUUACUGAACCAAUUUGGUCAAUUCGAUCAUAUCACCACCUUGUGCAGUUUGCAUUGGGUCAUGGACCAGGAGCUCGCUUUCAAAAAUAUUUUCAAUCUAUUGGACCCACAUGGAGACAUCUUGAUAACAAUGUGCGAACGCCAUCCGCUGUACGAACACUAUCGAGACAUGAUGGCACUGGAUAAGUGGAGCGAUUAUCGAGAACAAAUGAAAUUGAGUACGUCACCGUAUUUCGGGGUUUCGGAUCCAGUGAAAAUGUUGAAAGAGAUAUUGGAAAAGGUUGGAUUUAAAUAUGUUCAUGUUGAGUUGAAGGAACGCUUGGUCCGGUACGAGAAACAGGUUUUUAUCGAUGCAACAAGCCCCUGCGCUCCGAUUUUAUGUCACCUUCCUGAGAGUCUGCGUCGAGAAUUUCUCAGUAUCUACGAACAGAAAGUCAUGCAGAUGUCGCAAAACACGUACAAAACACAAAACAAUCGCAUUAUUACCGUACCGUAUCGCCAAUUGAUUGCGUAUGCGAAAAAAGGAAACAACACAAAUAUUCACAUCGACAUAAACUACUACGCACAUGUACAUCGUGUUCCUCUUAAGAUUGACGAAGUUCGUAUGUACAACGCGAAAUGUUAUCACGCCACAAAUUGUAUGCAGCGUAAAGAUGCUUUAGACACCAUAACGGAGUACCAAGGAAUGUUCCAAUGGUCACCAAAGGGAGAUGAUAGCCUGUUAGAUAUAGGGACUGGCAGCGGUGACGUCACACUUGAUUAUAUCCUGCCUAUUUUACCACAAAAAUCGCAAAUAGUUGCCAGUGAUAAGUCGCAGGAAAUGCUUGAUUAUGCCAGUACGCAUUUCUCGCAUCCUCGAAUAUCGUUCGCUAAACUAGACAUCGAAAGUGAAAACGAUGUGAAUGAGGUGUUACGGAAGUACGGACAAUUUCAGCAUAUCACUUCAUUUUGUGCCUUACAUUGGGCGUUAAAACAAUAUUUGGUGAUGGAGAAUAUCUUCAGUUUGUUACAACCUGGCGGCGACAUAUUGAUUACCAUUUGUCAGCAUCAUCCGUUGUACGAACAUUACGCUGACAUGUCUGAACUUUCAAAAUGGUCGCCUUAUAGACCGGAUAUGAAAAAGAGUACGACACCAUAUUUUCGAAACGAAAAUCCCGAAAAGGAGCUGUAUAUGCGACUGGAGCGGGCUGGAUUCGUAGACAUCAAUGUCGUUUUAAAGAGACGGAUCUUCCAUUUCGAUAGUCAAGUAUUCCUUGAUUCUACUGUCCCAGUCGCACCAUUUCUAGACAAAAUAUCAGAGUCAUUGAAAGAAGAAUUCCUGCAGAUAUACAUAAACAAGGUAAUGACAAUGAAUCUGCCUGCACCAUAUAAAUCGAACAGGGAACGGAACGAUGGAAAAACUAUCAUUCCAUUUUGCAUGUUGGUGGCCCAUGCAAAGAAGCCGAGUACAGAAGAUACUCAUGUUUGAAGACGGUUCUCAACUUACUUUCCAGGUUUUUAAUUCACGUUUUAUAUUUUAAGCCGUGUACUAUGUAAGCACAUUGGAGAGUGACUGCUGUAAGUAUGAAUUUGUUUUAAAAUGUUACGAAUAAAAGCAACCCAUGAA
Unclassified non-coding RNA from Bradysia coprophila, 2076 nucleotides. The record is from RefSeq and is a predicted model, not a curated record. Lineage: Eukaryota; Metazoa; Arthropoda; Insecta; Diptera; Sciaridae.